CGAAAAACCUUACCUACCCUUGACAUGCCACUAACGAAGCAGAGAUGCAUUAGGUGCUCGAAAGAGAAAGUGGACACAGGUGCUGCAUGGCUGUCGUCAGCUCGUGUCGUGAGAUGUUGGGUUAAGUCCCGCAACGAGCGCAACCCUUGUCAUUAGUUGCUACGAAAGGGCACUCUAAUGAGACUGCCGGUGACAAACCGGAGGAAGGUGGGGAUGACGUCAAGUCCUCAUGGCCCUUAUGGGUAGGGCUUCACACGUCAUACAAUGGUACAUACAGAGGGCCGCCAACCCGCGAGGGGGAGCUAAUCCCAGAAAGUGUAUCGUAGUCCGGAUUGGAGUCUGCAACUCGACUCCAUGAAGUUGGAAUCGCUAGUAAUCGCG
RNAcentral lists this ribosomal RNA (381 nucleotides) under uncultured Ralstonia sp. RNAcentral's name for it is "bacterial SSU rRNA". It matches the Rfam family "Bacterial small subunit ribosomal RNA", at positions 962 to 1346 of the family's 1533-position model. Lineage: Bacteria; Pseudomonadati; Pseudomonadota; Betaproteobacteria; Burkholderiales; Burkholderiaceae. The record is from RNAcentral.